AAAGGUAUAGCUCAAGUGGGUAAAGCACAUGCUUAGCAUGCAUGAGGUCCUGGGUUCAAUCCCCAGUACCUCCU
RNAcentral lists this transfer RNA (74 nucleotides) under Camelus bactrianus (Bactrian camel). It matches the Rfam family "tRNA". From Rfam's summary of the family: Transfer RNA (tRNA) molecules are approximately 80 nucleotides in length. RNAcentral also lists the same sequence under 2 other names. The record is from Rfam by way of RNAcentral. Lineage: Eukaryota; Metazoa; Chordata; Mammalia; Artiodactyla; Camelidae.